AGCAGCCGCGGUAAUUCCAGCUCCAAUAGCGUAUAUUAAAGUUGUUGCAGUUAAAAAGCUCGUAGUUGAAUUUCGGGGUUAGUAGAUUGGUCAUGCCUCUGGUAUGUACUGGUCUCACUGAUUCCUCCUUCCUGAUGAACCUUAAUGCCAUUAAUUUGGUGUUUUGGGGAAUUUGGACUGUUACUUUGAAAAAAUUAGAGUGUUUAAAGCAAGCUAACGCUUGAAUACAUUAGCUUGGAAUAAUGAAAUAGGACGUUCGAUCCUAUUUUGUUGGUUUCUAGGAUUGACGUAAUGAUUAAUAGGGAUAGUUGGGGCAUUAGUAUUCAAUUGUCAGAGGUGAAAUUCUUGGAUUUAUUGAAGACUAACUACUGCGAAAGCAUUUGCCAAGGAUGUUUCCAUUAAUCAAGAACGAAAGUUAGGGGAUCGAAGACGAUCAGAUACCGUCGUAGUCUUAACCAUAAACUAUGCCGACUAGGGAUCGGAUGAUGUUAAUUUUUUAAUGACUCA
RNAcentral lists this ribosomal RNA (507 nucleotides) under uncultured glomeraceous AM fungus. Its description in RNAcentral is "SSU rRNA". It matches the Rfam family "Eukaryotic small subunit ribosomal RNA", at positions 569 to 1078 of the family's 1831-position model. Lineage: Eukaryota; Fungi; Glomeromycota; Glomeromycetes; Glomerales; Glomeraceae. The record is from RNAcentral.